Molecule: ribosomal RNA, 515 nt
Filed under: uncultured bacterium
Lineage: Bacteria
Description: bacterial SSU rRNA
Rfam family: Bacterial small subunit ribosomal RNA
Source: RNAcentral
AGAGUUUGAUCAUGGCUCAGGAUGAACGCUAGCGGGAGGCCUAACACAUGCAAGUCGAACGAGAAUCGGAGCUUGCUCCGAGGAUAGUGGCGCACGGGUGCGUAACGCGUAUGCAACCUACCUUUUACUGGGGGAUAGCUCCGAGAAAUCGGGAUUAAUACCUCAUAAUAAGUUUUACCGGCAUCGGUAGAACUUUAAAGCUCCGGCGGUAAGAGAUGGGCAUGCGUGCCAUUAGCUAGUUGGUGAGGUAACGGCUCACCAAGGCAACGAUGGCUAGGGGUUCUGAGAGGAUUAUCCCCCACACGGGUACUGAGACACGGACCCGACUCCUACGGGAGGCAGCAGUAAGGAAUAUUGGACAAUGGGCGAAAGCCUGAUCCAGCCAUGCCGCGUGAAGGAUGAAGGCGCUCAGCGUUGUAAACUUCUUUUGGAUGGGAACAAUAACCACGACUUGUCGUGACUUGAGGGUACCAUCAGAAUAAGCACCGGCUAACUCCGUGCCAGCAGCCGCGGUG